CUAAAGUUCAAACCUGUAGCUAAAUUUACUUAAACCAGCCUUCACCAUUAAAAUCAAUACCCCUCUCAAAUGCAUCAUCAGCUAUGAGUAAAAGAUAUCAAUCAACAUAGGUGGGUCAAACCUAUAUAUCAAAGCCUCUAGAUCCCCUUGCGGGUGAAGUGCUUUCACAGAACUUGGAUAGACCAGAAUGGAUAAUCAGGUCAAACAUCAAAUCCUAAAGCAUUAUCAAGUUUUUAAAAACAUUUAAACGUGACCAAAAACCUUACCAAUAAUUUUAUCCAGUGAAUAUUAGUUAAGACACUGUCCACAGCAACAUCAUACUGCAUAGACAAUCAUACUGAUAAAGUCAGCAAACUGCUGCAACCAGCAUCAAAGUCACGAUCACCCAUCUAUCACAUAGAAACAGCAUCAACAGCCACAAAAUCAACAUCCGCCAAUCAGGCGCCAGUCACUCUUACCCCGAACAUAACAAAACUAGAACUUAUAGUCUGAUAACAUUUUUAAUCAACAAGUCCUCUAAGCAUUCAUUCCUGCACUGCUCAGUACUGUCCACAUUUCUCCUUCUCCCAUGUAUUCACUUAUCAACAUCUGAAUUUUGUGGAGAUGGGCUUCGUGAAUCAGCAGGUCGACCUCGUGGUGAAACACUCCUAGAAGUUGGAGACCUUCCACCACCAUUACCAUUUCUUUCAGGACUUUCACCUCUGGGAGAUGGACUCCUUCGAGGAGAGAGGCUCCUUCGAGGAAAUGGACUCCUCCUUGGACUAGGGCUUCGUCUACCAGGAGAACCACUAUCCAUCGAACGACUACGGCCACGACUUCGGCUUCGGCUUCGGCUCCGACUUCUACGCUCAUCAUCAUAGCGUCCUCUUCCCCUCCCCUUGGAGUAAUCAGGACUAGGUCGCCUAGGACUGAUGCUCCGGCUUCGCCUGCGAUAGUCUCUUUCCCUCUCCCUUUCUCUUCCACGCCUAUCACGAUCACUCCUGUCCAAGCUUCUGCUUCUACUUCGGCUUCGACUUCUCCUCCUAUAGUCCCUAUCUCUGUAAUCAUCCCGAUGUCGUCUCCGUGGACUGCGACUUCUAGACCUGUAUCUUGACUUUGGAAAUGCUUCACUGAUCUUUCCUUUGUGAAUCCUUUCUGCAUUUGGACCAUAUUUUGCAAACUGAACAGUUAUCUCCCGUCCAUCAACCACAGUGCCAUCUAGCCUCUCCACUGCUUUCUGAGCCUCAUCUGCAUACUUGUAUCGCACAAAUGCAAAACCUCUGGAAUCACCAGUCCUUCGAUCUCUGGG
Molecule: unclassified non-coding RNA, 1288 nt
Filed under: Hevea brasiliensis (rubber tree)
Lineage: Eukaryota; Viridiplantae; Streptophyta; Magnoliopsida; Malpighiales; Euphorbiaceae
Source: RNAcentral